This 21-nucleotide microRNA is filed under the name Python bivittatus (Burmese python). Its description in RNAcentral is "pbv-miR-5420-3p". Lineage: Eukaryota; Metazoa; Chordata; Lepidosauria; Squamata; Pythonidae. The record is from miRBase by way of RNAcentral.
AAAGUGCUUCAUUGUUUGGGU